GAUGAAGAACGUAGCGAAAUGCGAUAAGUAGUGUGAAUUGCAGAAUUCAGUGAAUCAUCGAAUCUUUGAACGCACAUUGCGCCCCUUGGUAUUCCAUGGGGCAUGCCUGUUCGAGCGUCAUUUGUACCUUCAAGCUUUGCUUGGUGUUGGGUGUUUGUCCUUUCUCUUGCAGAGGGACUCGCCUUAAAGUAAUUGGCAGCCAGUGUUUUGGUUUUGAAGCGCAGCACAAGUCGCGAUUCAAAGCUAUACCCCAGCUUCCACAAGCCUUUUUCACUUUUGACCUCGGAUCAGGUAGGGAUACCCGCUGAACUUAAGCAUAUCAAUAAGCGGAGGA
Molecule: unclassified non-coding RNA, 334 nt
Filed under: soil metagenome
Description: partial contains 5.8S ribosomal RNA, internal transcribed spacer 2, and large subunit ribosomal RNA
Rfam family: 5.8S ribosomal RNA (bases 1-120)
Source: RNAcentral